UACGGAGGGUGCGAGCGUUGUCCGGAAUCACUGGGCGUAAAGCGCACGUAGGCGGCUUCUUAAGUCAGGGGUGAAAUCCUGGAGCUCAACUCCAGAACUGCCUUUGAUACUGGCGAGCUUGAGUCCGGGAGAGGUGAGUGGAACUGCGAGUGUAGAGGUGAAAUUCGUAGAUAUUCGCAAGAACACCAGUGGCGAAGGCGGCUCACUGGCCCGGUACUGACGCUGAGGUGCGAAAGCGUGGGGAGCAAACAGG
RNAcentral lists this ribosomal RNA (253 nucleotides) under uncultured bacterium. RNAcentral describes it as "partial 16S ribosomal RNA". It matches the Rfam family "Bacterial small subunit ribosomal RNA", at positions 524 to 776 of the family's 1533-position model. The record is from RNAcentral.